Molecule: non-coding RNA, 73 nt
Organism: Phrynosoma platyrhinos (Desert horned lizard)
Lineage: Eukaryota; Metazoa; Chordata; Lepidosauria; Squamata; Phrynosomatidae
Source: the annotation of a GenBank genome assembly
GGCAGUAUGGUAUAGUGAUAUGAGUUCUAGACUAGGACUUUAGAAGAUCAGGGUUCAAAUCCCUGCUCAGCCA